GUGUUUGGGCCGAGGCGCUCCCUCCUUUGCAUUUAAGCCUGUUCAAACGCAUGUCUUGAAGCUNUACGGAGCGAGCAGUAACAACUUUCAACAACGGAUCUCUUGGCUUUUGCAUCGAUGAAGAACGCCGCGAAAGUGCGAAACGUAAUGUGAAUUGCAGAAUUCAGUGAAUCAUCGAAUCUUUGAACGCAUCUUGCGCUCCUCGGUAUUCCGAGGAGCAUGCCUGUUUGAGUGCCAUGAACUAUACUCUCGACCCCUUUCGAUCCCUUUGCCGGGAUGGAAGGGGGUUGGAUUUUGGACGCUUGCGGCCGGGUCCUUUCCUGUCCCGCUCGUCUUCAAAUGCAUUAGCUGGUCCCCUCUUUGGAGUCGGUUCGACGACGGUGUGAUAAUGAACGCUUCGUUGACUGUGGCGCCGUUUGGGUCGACUCUGAACCGGGCCGCUUACAGCCGUCUUUGGACAGAAAUGCCAUUUGGCCUCAAAUCAGGUAGGACUACCCGCUGAACUUAAGCAUAUCAAUAAGCGGAGGAAAAGAAACUAACGAGGAUUCCCCUAGUAACGGCGAGUGAAGCGGGAAGAGCUCAAAUUUGAAAUCUGGCGGCCUUGCGGCCGUCCGAGUUGUANU
This 623-nucleotide ribosomal RNA is filed under the name uncultured fungus. RNAcentral describes it as "eukaryotic LSU rRNA". The stretch from base 83 to 237 matches the Rfam family "5.8S ribosomal RNA". Lineage: Eukaryota; Fungi. The record is from RNAcentral.